Petromyzon marinus (sea lamprey) is the source of this 1531-nucleotide non-coding RNA. NCBI's taxonomy places the organism in Eukaryota, Metazoa, Chordata, Hyperoartia, Petromyzontiformes, Petromyzontidae. The record is from RefSeq and is a predicted model, not a curated record.
GGCACUACCACUACCACCACUCGCUCUGUCUACACCGUGUGUAACGGCUCUCUGAGUGAAUACGGAGUGCUAGGUGUAAGGCACUACCACUACCACCACUCGCUUUGUCUACACCGUGUGUAACGGCUCUCUGAGUGAAUACGGAGCGCUAGGUAUAAGGCACUACCACUACCACCACUCGCUCUGUCUACACCGUGUGUAACGGCUCUCUGAGUGAAUACGGAGCGCUAGGUGUAAGGCACUACCACUACCACCACUCGCUCUGUCUACACCGUGUGUAACGGCUCUCUGAGUGAAUACGGAGUGCUAGGUGUAAGGCACUACCACUACCACCACUCGCUCUGUCUACACCGUGUGUAGCGGCUCUCUGAGUGAAUACGGAGCGCUAGGUGUAAGGCACUACCACUACCACCACUCGCUCUGUCUACACCGUGUGUAACGGCUCUCUGAGUGAAUACGGAGUGCUAGGUGUAAGGCACUACCACUACCACCACUCGCUCUGUCUACACCGUGUGUAACGGCUCUCUGAGUGAAUACGGAGUGCUAGGUGUAAGGCACUACCACUACCACCACUCGCUCUGUCUACACUGUGUGUAACGGCUCUCUGAGUGAAUACGGAGUGCUAGGUGUAAGGCACUACCACUACCACCACUCGCUCUGUCUACACCGUGUGUAACGGCUCUCUGAGUGAAUACGGAGUGCUAGGUGUAAGGCACUACCACUACCACCACUCGCUCUGUCUACACCGUGUGUAACGGCUCUCUGAGUGAAUACGGAGUGCUAGGUGUAAGGCACUACCACUACCACCACUCGCUUUGUCUACACCGUGUGUAACGGCUCUCUGAGUGAAUACGGAGUGCUAGGUGUAAGGCACUACCACUACCACCACUCGCUUUGUCUACACCGUGUGUAACGGCUCUCUGAGUGAAUACGGAGUGCUAGGUGUAAGGCACUACCACUACCACCACUCGCUCUGUCUACACCGUGUGUAACGGCUCUCUGAGUGAAUACGGAGUGCUAGGUGUAAGGCACUACCACUACCACCACUCGCUCUGUCUACACCGUGUGUAACGGCUCUGUGAGUGAAUACGGAGUGCUAGGUGUAAGGCACUACCACUACCACCACUCGCUCUGUCUACACCGUGUGAGUGAAUACGGAGCGCUAGGUGUAAGGCACUACCACUACCACCACUCGCUCUGUCUACACCGUGUGUAACGGCUCUCUGAGUGAAUACGGAGCGCUAGGUGUAAGGCACUACCACUACCACCACUCGCUCUGUCUACACCGUCUGUAACGGCUCUCUGAGUGAAUACGGAGUGCUAGGUGUAAGGCACUACCACUACCACCACUCGCUCUGUCUACACCGUGUGUAACGGCUCUGUGAGUGAAUACGGAGCGCUAGGUGUAAGGCACUACCACUACCACCACUCGCUUUGUCUACACCGUGUGUAACGGCUCUGUGAGUGAAUACGGAGCGCUAGGUGUAAGGCACUACCACUACCACCACCCUCUCCCUUCUCACCCCCCCGC